This 201-nucleotide long non-coding RNA is filed under the name Mytilus galloprovincialis (Mediterranean mussel). The record is from RNAcentral. Lineage: Eukaryota; Metazoa; Mollusca; Bivalvia; Mytilida; Mytilidae.
UGAGAAUGGAAAUGGGGAAUGCGUCAAAGAGACAAAAACCCGACCAUAGAAGAACAGACAACAGCAGAAGGUCACCAACAGGUCUUCAAUGCAGCGUAAAAAAUUCCCGCACCCGGAGUCGUCCUUCAGCUGGCCCCUAAACAAUAUAAAUACUAGUUCAGUGAUAAUGAACGCCAUACUAAACUCCAAAUUGUACACAAG